RNAcentral lists this long non-coding RNA (4032 nucleotides) under Canis lupus familiaris (dog). RNAcentral describes it as "lncRNA (ENSCAFG00000053564.1)". The record is from RNAcentral. Lineage: Eukaryota; Metazoa; Chordata; Mammalia; Carnivora; Canidae.
UUUUUUUUUUUUUUUUUUAAGAUUUAUUAAUUUAUUCAUGAGAGAGAGACAGAGAGAGAGAGAGGCAGAGACAUAGGCAGAGGCAGAAGCAGGCUCCACGCAGGGAGCCCAAUGCGGGACUUGAUCCCAGAUCCCAGGAUCAUGACCUGAGCCGAAGGCAGACACUCAACCACUGAGCCACCCAGGUGUCCCAUGGCAACCCCCUUUCAAUGGGUAUUUGUCAGCUCCCAUGUACCAAAUUAUUCUUUCUUUGCCCGGGGUCAACUGACUCUCAUGCAUCUUACUUCCCUGCCUCCUACUACAGCCACCCCCCUACUUACACAGAACAGGCUCUGGUCAUUCCUGUCCUAAAAGACAUUUCCUAAACUACCCCAAUUCAAGCUACACCCUCCCCUUUUCUCCUCCCCACAAUACUUCCUUCAAGAAAUGGUCCACAGUCGCUGUCCCCACUUAUGACCAGGCACUCACCCCCUUGUAAUGUGAGUUCUGCUGUUACCUCUCUGCUGAAAUUGCAGAAAGCAGAGAAAGAGGAAGAAAUCUUUUCAUAUUCCUGCUUGCUCAACAGGACUGGACAUCAGUACCUGUUAUUUUUAUAAGGUUUCCUCCCUUGGCUUUCUGGACUUUGCCUACUUCCAAUUCUCCCACUAUGGAAAUCACACAGACCUUCCCACACUUAGAGACCUAAGAAACACCUGUGAAUGACACACAGGCCCCAGUCAGCAUCCGCUUUCCCUGUAAUACUGCCACCAGCCAACCCAGGUCUCAGACUUUCUCUGAGGGAGAAAAACAACAGAAAAAAGACUCAAGUCUAAAACCUGACCAAGUUUUACACCUGUGAAGAUAAGCACACUGAUUUCCUCAACACUUACUGAUCACUUCUCAGCUAGUAGGGACUCAAGGUGCUUAAGAGACCAGUGAAACAAGCCCCGGACCUUCGACUAAGAAAUUCUGUCUAGAAGAGUCACGGAUCAACCUGAUAAAGGAUAUGAUAAAGGGGAAGGCCAGGGAGUGCCAGAGCAGCUUGCUGAGAGAAACACAAGAGGUACCCUCAGCCUCAGACAGAUCCACCGUCACCAUUUUAGUCCAGGUUCCCUGCAAUUCUCCCAACUGGUCUCCAUGUCUCCCUUUUAGACAUCCUACCCUCUUCCCAAAUCCAUUCUGCACAUUGCAGCAGGAGUGGUCUGCUUAAAAUUCCAAACAACGCUCUCUCCUGCUCAAAACCUUUCAACAGCACUGAGAAUACAGUCCUGCAUCAUCUGCCUCCCGCCGAUUUUUCUCCCUUCGGUUCACCCCAUUUUCCCUUGCACCAGUGGCCCUUCAACCACACUGAUCUUACAGUUCCUUAAACAGAAUGAGUUCUUUUCCACUACAAGGUCUCUGCACAUACCAUUCCUUUUACCUGGAAUCCUCCUGCUACCACUCUCUGUACUAAAAACAUUUUGAACUCUGGUUCUCAGCUGAAAUGUCAUUUCUUCUAUUUACUUGUUUCUAUUUCUGUCUGCCCCAUUAGAGUGUAUGGCCAAAACAAAACCAUGUCUGUGUUAGUCACUUUGUAUUCACAGUAUCUGGCAUGCAGCGCUCAAUAAAUAUUUGCCCAAUGAGGAAGUAAAGACUCUUUCCUGCUCGAGUCCUAACUGGAAGCAUCCCCUUAGGUUCACUUCCUCUCCCACUCCAUUUUCACCAGGCCAAGGCUGAUCAUGCUCUUCUAUGCCUCCACACCUGACCUCUCCUCCCAAGAUGAAGUUCUACAACUAUGAUGCCUGCAGAAAACCCCACCUGGAGUCCCUGAUACCUGCAACUGGACAUGUCUCACAACACACUCAUUAACUAUCCUCAAACGCCUGUUCAUUAUUCCAUUGCUGUUAAUGGCAUGCUCUUACAGGUGGAGUGACUUACUUCUCUCUUUCCUUAACCCACAGACAAGAACUGCUUCCAUCUCUAAAAAUACACCUGCAUGUUCUUACCUAGUCAAUUGACCUACUGCAUUAGCCUCAUUUCCCACCUCUAAUCUUUUAAAAUAUGUGUACAUCAAAGCUUAAUUCUGAUACUGACCAAUACUCCCACUGAAAUCCUUCAAUAGCUCCCUACUGCCUUCCAAAUAAUGUCCACACUACUCAAACAUGAUAGUCUAGUUUGGUGGUUAGGACCAAAAAUUCUGGAGCCACACUGCCAUGUAAAUGAAUAGGAACAAUGAAAGAUGCAGAUCCCAGAUACACCACUUAAUUUCCAUGCUACAGUUGUUCAUCUGUACAAUGGGGUAAUGAUACAAGUAUUUACCUCCAAGGGUUGCUGUAAAGAAUUAAGCGUCUAAUACAGACAGAACUCUUAGGAUAACACUUGGCACAGGUCAGUGCUAUACACAUUGUAUUUUACUGCCCCAUCCCCAAUUAGCAAUAGCCUAUAUCCCAGUCUACCUGAACCAAAUCACUCUUCCCCUAAUGCUUUUCAAACUUUCCCUUCGGAGCAAUGAGCCUCCACCACCAGCUGAUAAGCACCAGCUUGUUAAUAAGCUGCCAGUAUUACAUCCCCCUCUUCAAGGGCAUUUCCAGGCAAAAGCUUCCAUCACAAAGCUCUUUUCUCUCCAGGAGUGUCCUUAUAGCUCAUGCACUGAAAUUCCCCAGAGGUUGCUCAUCAAAGGAUUUCCAGCCCUGUUCAAAGACAGUUAGUCUACAAUUAGCCAUCCUCUUCUUCCCUCUACUUUCUCAAUCUCCUCCCAAGUUUCAGAUCAAAGACCAUCCUAAUACCAUUUUCCAUGCCCAACGGCAAAGGUGUCUUAACUCUCUUAUGUCCCUAAUUUGAGUAAAAGUUGAAACUCUUGACUACUCUCUCUACAAUGGUUCUAUUAGAUCAGAUAGUGUUUCCUUUGCACGGAAACACUUAAAAUAAUUAAAAUUAAGUUCUGUGGGGGCGCCUGGGUGGCUCAAUCGGUUAAACAUCUGUAUCUCGGUUUCAGUUCGGGUCAUGAUCACACGGGAGUUGGGCUGAGCUCAGUAUGGAGUUUGCUUGUCUGUCUCUCUCUCCCUCUGUCCCUCCCAGUGCCAGCUUUCACUUGAAUAAAUAACUCUUUUUAAAAAAUAAGAUUAAGGUUUAUAGUCUUUUUUUUUUUUUUAAGAUUUUAUUCAUUCAUGAGAAGAGAGAGAGAGAGAGACAGAAACACAUGCUCCAUGAGAAGCAGGCUCCAUGCAGGGAGCCCAACGUGGGACUCGAUCCCAGGUCUCCAAGUUCACACCCUGGGCUGAACGCAGGCGCCAACCGCUGAGCCACCCAGGGAUCUCCUAUAGUCUUAUUAAGAGCAGAAUAUGUAUGGACUUCACAAUCUCUGAAGCAGCUAGCCCUUACCACCAUGACAGUGCUGCCCUCUUACCCUCUAAAGUCUCUGCUAUGCACAGGAACUUGGAAAUAAUAAAAUGUACAUAUAUAUAUUUUUAAAGAUUUUAUCUAUUCAUGAGAGAUACAGAGAGAAAGAGAGACAGAGACACAGGCAAAGGGAGAAGCAGGUUCCAUGCAGGGAGCCCGAUGUGGGACUUGAUCCCGGAACUCCAGGAUCAGGCCCUGGGCCAAAGGCAGGCACUAAACCGCUGAGCCACCCAGUGAUCCCCAUAAAACGUAUAUUAAUAACCCGCUUAUUCCUAGGGAUGGAAAAAUGAGAGUUACAACACUACCAAAAAUUUUAACCUUAAGUAAAACAAAUUAUAAAAUCUAAUGUGUAGUUUUCAAAGAAAAACCCAGUAACUUAACAUAUGGCUCUCCAAAACAAUGUAAAUUCUACUCCUUUUAAUAACUGAACUGAUACUUCAAAUAAACAUUUUUUUUUUAAUGAGAAGGAAGUCAUAAGUACCAAAGACACAAAAAUACAGCAAAAAUCAUGACAUCUUAACCCAAGGAACAGUCUUUAAAUCACCUCCUGGCUCCCCAGAAAGCUUUACCUAGGGCCCCUUACUGUCUGUCCUGCAGCUGAGAUUGUCAACAACAACAAAAAAACAUACUGAAACUUAGACAUCUUUACAAAACCAAAAACAAACACUUGUUCUC